ACGCACGCUGGCGGCAUGCCUAACACAUGCAAGUCGAACGAGACCUUCGGGUCUAGUGGCGCACGGGUGCGUAACGCGUGGGAACCUGCCCUUAGGUUCGGAAUAACUCCCCGCAAGGGGUGCUAAUACCGGAUAAUGUCUUCGGACCAAAGAUUUAUCGCCUUUGGAUGGGCCCGCGUUGGAUUAGCUAGUUGGUAGGGUAAAAGCCUACCAAGGCGACGAUCCAUAGCUGGCCUGAGAGGAUGAUCAGCCACACUGGGACUGAGACACGGCCCAGACUCCUACGGGAGGCAGCAGUGGGGAAUAUUGGACAAUGGGCGAAAGCCUGAUCCAGCAAUGCCGCGUGAGUGAUGAAGGCCUUAGGGUUGUAAAGCUCUUUUACCCGGGAUGAUAAUGACAGUACCGGGAGAAUAAGCUCCGGCUAACUCCGUG
Molecule: ribosomal RNA, 432 nt
Filed under: uncultured bacterium
Lineage: Bacteria
Description: partial 16S ribosomal RNA
Rfam family: Bacterial small subunit ribosomal RNA
Source: RNAcentral